AGAGUUUGAUCAUGGCUCAGAUUGAACGCUGGCGGCAGGCCUAACACAUGCAAGUCGAACGGUAACAGGAAGCAGCUUGCUGCUUUGCUGACGAGUGGCGGACGGGUGAGUAAUGUCUGGGAAACUGCCUGAUGGAGGGGGAUAACUACUGGAAACGGUGGCUAAUACCGCAUAACGUCGCAAGACCAAAGAGGGGGACCUUCGGGCCUCUUGCCAUCAGAUGUGCCCAGAUGGGAUUAGCUUGUUGGUGAGGUAACGGCUCACCAAGGCGACGAUCCCUAGCUGGUCUGAGAGGAUGACCAGCCACACUGGAACUGAGACACGGUCCAGACUCCUACGGGAGGCAGCAGUGGGGAAUAUUGCACAAUGGGCGCAAGCCUGAUGCAGCCAUGCCGCGUGUAUGAAGAAGGCCUUCGGGUUGUAAAGUACUUUCAGCGGGGAGGAAGGUGUUGUGGUUAAUAACCACAGCAAUUGACGUUACCCGCAGAAGAAGCACCGGCUAACUCCGUGCCAGCAGCCGCGGUAAUACGGAGGGUGCAAGCGUUAAUCGGAAUUACUGGGCGUAAAGCGCACGCAGGCGGUCUGUCAAGUCGGAUGUGAAAUCCCCGGGCUCAACCUGGGAACUGCAUUCGAAACUGGCAGGCUUGAGUCUUGUAGAGGGGGGUAGAAUUCCAGGUGUAGCGGUGAAAUGCGUAGAGAUCUGGAGGAAUACCGGUGGCGAAGGCGGCCCCCUGGACAAAGACUGACGCUCAGGUGCGAAAGCGUGGGGAGCAAACAGGAUUAGAUACCCUGGUAGUCCACGCCGUAAACGAUGUCUACUUGGAGGUUGUGCCCUUGAGGCGUGGCUUCCGGAGCUAACGCGUUAAGUAGACCGCCUGGGGAGUACGGCCGCAAGGUUAAAACUCAAAUGAAUUGACGGGGGCCCGCACAAGCGGUGGAGCAUGUGGUUUAAUUCGAUGCAACGCGAAGAACCUUACCUGGUCUUGACAUCCACAGAACUUUCCAGAGAUGAGAUUGUGCCUUCGGGAACUGUGAGACAGGUGCUGCAUGGCUGUCGUCAGCUCGUGUUGUGAAAUGUUGGGUUAAGUCCCGCAACGAGCGCAACCCUUAUCCUUUGUUGCCAGCGGUUAGGCCGGGAACUCAAAGGAGACUGCCAGUGAUAAACUGGAGGAAGGUGGGGAUGACGUCAAGUCAUCAUGGCCCUUACGACCAGGGCUACACACGUGCUACAAUGGCGCAUACAAAGAGAAGCGACCUCGCGAGAGCAAGCGGACCUCAUAAAGUGCGUCGUAGUCCGGAUUGGAGUCUGCAACUCGACUCCAUGAAGUCGGAAUCGCUAGUAAUCGUGGAUCAGAAUGCCACGGUGAAUACGUUCCCGGGCCUUGUACACACCGCCCGUCACACCAUGGGAGUGGGUUGCAAAAGAAGUAGGUAGCUUAACCUUCGGGAGGGCGCUUACCACUUUGUGAUUCAUGACUGGGGUGAAGUCGUAACAAGGUAACCGUAGGGGAACCUGCGGUUG
Molecule: ribosomal RNA, 1522 nt
Filed under: Salmonella enterica subsp. enterica serovar Enteritidis
Lineage: Bacteria; Pseudomonadati; Pseudomonadota; Gammaproteobacteria; Enterobacterales; Enterobacteriaceae
Description: bacterial SSU rRNA
Rfam family: Bacterial small subunit ribosomal RNA
Source: RNAcentral